Long non-coding RNA from Lolium perenne, 519 nucleotides. RefSeq lists it as uncharacterized. NCBI's taxonomy places the organism in Eukaryota, Viridiplantae, Streptophyta, Magnoliopsida, Poales, Poaceae. The record is from RefSeq and is a predicted model, not a curated record.
GUUCUCCUUACAACAUAACUUAAUGUACAAGAACCUGUUUACUCAACAACUUCUAAGCAACAUUUAUCCAUCUAUGUUUGUAGUUUCUGUUUUAUGUACAUAUAUAGUUUAAUCUCUCCUACAGUUAGACGUGGAAGACUGAAUUUUAAUGGAACUCUUCAGGUUUGCUUGUUGACGUUGCGGCAUGAAAGAUGUUGAUUUGUCGUAGAUUUUUGGCAGGUCCAUGUAGUGAUGAUCCAGAUUUGCAUUCGGGAAAUCAUUCUGAGAAAAAUGAAGAGGCAGCUUCCCAUAUGGUGCUGAGAAGUUAGGGAAGAAGGUGUUGUGAUACAUGCCUUUGUCAUAUCACUAUAUGCAUUUUUUCCCAGUUGUGCGAUUCCUGAUUUGGUCAUAAUUGUAUUAUCAAAAUGUGUGGAACUCCAAUUAGCUGCUCUUUCAUUGGAGUAGGUUGCAUCAGAAAGGCGUUAGCUGCAUCCUCAGGAUGGCGUGCUCUUCUGUUUUGUCUAUUUGUCAUCGUCAUGU